AACUGCCUCGGUCAGAGGUUCCAUGUUAACCAGUCAAACUGCCUCGGUCAGAGGUUCCAUGUUAACCAGACAAACUGCCUCGGUCAGAGGUUCCAUGUUAACCAGUCAAACUGCCACGGUCAGAGGUUCCAUGUUAACCAGUCAAACUGCCUCGGUCAGAGGUUCCAUGUUAACCAGUCAAACUGCCACGGUCAGAGGUUCCAUCCAUGUUAACCAGUCAAACUGCCUCGGUCAGAGGUUCCAUCCAUGUUAACCAGUCAAACUGCCUCGGUCAGAGGUUCCAUGUUAACCAGUCAAACUGCCACGGUCAGAGGUUCCAUCCAUGUUAACCAGUCAAACUGCCUCGGUCAGAGGUUCCAUGUUAACUAGUCAAACUGCCUCGGUCAGAGGUUCCAUGUUAACCAGUCAAACUGCCUCGGUCAGAGGUUCCAUGUUAACCAGUCAAACUGCCUCGGUCAGAGGUUCCAUGUUAACCAGUCAAACUGCCUCGGUCAGAGGUUCCAUGUUAACCAGUCAAACUGCCACGGUCAGAGGUUCCAUGUUAACCAGUCAAACUGCCACGGUCAGAGGUUCCAUCCAUGUUAACCAGUCAAACUGCCACGGUCAGAGGUUCCAUGUUAACCAGUCAAACUGCCACGGUCAGAGGUUCCAUCCAUGUUAACCAGUCAAACUGCCUCGGUCAGAGGUUCCAUGUUAACCAGUCAAACUGCCUCGGUCAGAGGUUCCAUGUUAACCAGUCAAACUGCCUCGGUCAGAGGUUCCAUGUUAACCAGUCAAACUGCCUCGGUCAGAGGUUCCAUCCAUGUUAACCAGUCAAACUGCCUCGGUCAGAGGUUCCAUGUUAACCAGUCAAACUGCCUCGGUCAGAGGUUCCAUGUUAACCAGUCAAACUGCCUCGGUCAGAGGUUCCAUGUUAACCAGUCAAACUGUCUCGGUCAGA
This is a long non-coding RNA of Oncorhynchus keta (chum salmon), 940 nucleotides long. RefSeq lists it as uncharacterized. NCBI's taxonomy places the organism in Eukaryota, Metazoa, Chordata, Actinopteri, Salmoniformes, Salmonidae. The transcript is spliced from 6 exons. The record is from RefSeq and is a predicted model, not a curated record.